RNAcentral lists this ribosomal RNA (301 nucleotides) under uncultured bacterium. RNAcentral describes it as "partial 16S ribosomal RNA". It matches the Rfam family "Bacterial small subunit ribosomal RNA", at positions 510 to 808 of the family's 1533-position model. The record is from RNAcentral.
CGUCGCCACGGUAAUACGAAGGUCCCGAGCGUUGUUCGGAAUCACUGGGCGUAAAGGGAGCGUAGGCGGCGUGGUAAGUCAGAUGUGAAAUCCCGGGGCUCAACCCCGGAACUGCAUCCGAUACUGCCAUGCUAGAGGAUUGGAGAGGUAGCUGGAAUUCUUGGUGUAGCAGUGAAAUGCGUGGAGAUCAAGAGGAACACUCGUGGCGAAAGCGAGCUACUGGACAAUAACUGACGCUGAGGCUCGAAGGCCAGGGUAGCGAAAGGGAUUAGAUACCCGCGUAGUCCCUGUCUCUUAUACC